This 301-nucleotide ribosomal RNA is filed under the name uncultured bacterium. RNAcentral's name for it is "partial 16S ribosomal RNA". It matches the Rfam family "Bacterial small subunit ribosomal RNA", at positions 509 to 809 of the family's 1533-position model. The record is from RNAcentral.
CAGCAGCCGCGGGAAUACAGAGGGUGCAAGCGUUAAUCGGAAUUACUGGGCGUAAAGCGCGCGUAGGUGGUUCGCCAAGUUGGAUGUGAAAUCCUCGGGCUCAACCUGGGAACUGCAUCCAAAACUGGCGAGCUAGAGUAUGGUAGUGGGUGGUGGAAUUUCCUGUGUAGCGGUGAAAUGCGUAGAUAUAGGAAGGAACAUCAGUGGCGAAGGCGACCACCUGGACUGAUACUGACACUGAGGUGCGAAAGCGUGGGGAGCAAACAGGAUUAGAUACCCGUGUAGUCCCUGUCUCUUAUAA